Molecule: transfer RNA, 67 nt
Filed under: Dipodomys ordii (Ord's kangaroo rat)
Lineage: Eukaryota; Metazoa; Chordata; Mammalia; Rodentia; Heteromyidae
Rfam family: tRNA
About the family: Transfer RNA (tRNA) molecules are approximately 80 nucleotides in length.
Source: Rfam by way of RNAcentral
GGUUGUAGCUCAAUGGGAAAACAUUUGCUUUACAUGCAAAAGGUCCUGGGCUUAACUCCCAGCACCA